AGGUUGCAUUAAUUUGGAGGGCACACGGGAAGGAGCUCGCUCACAUCAGCACAAAACUGAAGCCAGCUGACGUGUUGGAAUUAAUUGGGCCAGGAGGCCGCUGGUCCCCUGGCUUCUUCUGUGGCUGGUCUUUGUGGAUUUUUCUCUUGCUUCUCUCCCAGCAAGUGCCGGGGCUGGGGUGGGAGUGUAACAGUCCUUACUCUGCAUGCAUUUGCGACUAGCAGAUGAAAGCUGCUGCUGGAGCCAGUCUAAUUGGAGAGAAUUGCAGUUUAGAGGAUUUCUUACACAAGUGGUAUAUUUACAACAUCUCCUUCCCCCUCCUGAGACUCCUCCCAUGUGACGCUCACCUCCCCCACGUGACCUCGCCCUCUUUAAUCUACAUAUGCAAAUCUAAGUGCUGCCUGCUGAGUUCAUUUAUGGACAAUGCCUCUCUCACCAAACUGCCUUCUGCUGGUCUGCUGGAACUCUGGGAAGGUUCACCGGCUCAAGAUUAUCACACUGAGGACCGAACUUACUAGGGGAACACACUCAGUUCCUAGCAGCCAGCCUGCCCUCAUCUUCUCCUUCUGACAGCAUUAAGAAGUAGCAACUUGGAAAGGAAACUGAGCUAUGGUUCAGUCUGGUUCACACACCAAGCCUUUGGAAGCCACGCUGCCUUGGUGUUUGUGUUUUCUCAAGGUUGGUCUGUUUCCAUGGAGCGAUCCUCCUGCAGUAGCCUCCCAAGUCAUGGGAUUUCAUGCCUAUACCACCUAGCUCGGGAAUAUGGAAUUCCUAAGAACUCUAAUUCCUUCCAUAAUGGUAUUCAGUUCUGCUUCUUAUUGCCAACUGUAGCCAUUUUUGCAGAGUUUUGGAUUCUCUUUUGUUAGCAUCAAGGUAAUUUCAGAGCAAUGACUCUUGUAAAUUUAAAGUAUUUACCCAGAAAAAAAAAUGGGGGUUGGGAGGACAAUCUAAUAAAUCAAACCGCUUACUAAAACUAGAAUUAGAUAAAAAUAUUAAUUUAAAACUGAAAAAUAAAUGCCCAAAGCUAAGUCUGCCCCCCAUGUCUGUACCCUAACCCUUGUCAAGGCUGCCUCUGAGCCCUUUCCCACCAAAGGCUUGGAGUAUAGACUCCACAAACAUUUUUCCAGGGAUCAGCCCACACCACCCACGGCUAGCCACAGGUCUCGCCUCCUCUAUUUGAAAAAUAAAAACAAACCAUCUUCAAAAAAAAAAAAAAAAAA
RNAcentral lists this long non-coding RNA (1220 nucleotides) under Mus musculus (house mouse). RNAcentral describes it as "predicted gene 5083 (Gm5083)". The record is from RNAcentral. Lineage: Eukaryota; Metazoa; Chordata; Mammalia; Rodentia; Muridae.